Fukomys damarensis (Damara mole-rat) is the source of this 61-nucleotide non-coding RNA. Lineage: Eukaryota; Metazoa; Chordata; Mammalia; Rodentia; Bathyergidae. The record is from Rfam.
UAAAAGGUUUUUUUUUGCAGUGAAUCAUUGAAAACCAUCAAUUUUAGUAGAAAAUGAUUCU